UUUAACAGAACGAGGCUGAGGUGGAUUAUUAGAGUGACGUGGACGACACUAGGAGAGAGAGAGACGCACAUGGGUAGCACAUGACCUUCCAACGGUCAUCUUCUUCCCCCUUUUCUUCUAUAAAACAGAGCAUGGACAUGAGGGGAAAGAUGAAGGGUAUGGGAGCUUCUCCAACAGUUGCAGCUUGCGUGAAAGGCUAAGGGAAAGACAAAGAAGCUUCUCCAACUGCUAUAACUCCUUGGGUUCGAAGGUUAUGGGGGAUUUAGCGAAGGUUCCUCUACCUGUUCUGGAUCUGGAAGGCGACUCCACAGGUCCAAGCCACUGAAGAUUCUUUGCGAUUGCGGAGUUGAAGCUCCCCUUGUAGCAUCAGGGACACCAUACAGUCAUGGAAGAGUGUUUUAUGGUUGUGGAUUGUACAAGGUAUAUGGCAAGAAGCAGUGCAGAUUCUUUAAAUGGGUUGACGAAGUCGAUGGUCAUGCAGUGGAAGAUAGGGAAGACAAGGUUGUUCGGGCAUUGACAAGAAAAAUUGUGGAAAUGAGGAAGACACAAGGGCAAUUGCAAAUGUUUUUAGCAAUUGCCAUAUUUGCAUUGUUGUUUGUACUGUUCUUGUAUGUAACCAAGUAGGGGGAAAUGGGUUAUGGGAAAUAAUUGUAGCUUAAUCAAUGUAAAAAUUAUGUGUUGUGCCUUGUGAAAUAAUUGUAGCACGAAAAUUGUGAAAUAUAAGUUGGAGUCUCAUUCUGUGGAAAUUUGGUAGUGAGUUUGCUAUUAAA
This is a long non-coding RNA of Lotus japonicus, 770 nucleotides long. RefSeq lists it as uncharacterized. The transcript is spliced from 2 exons. The record is from RefSeq and is a predicted model, not a curated record. NCBI's taxonomy places the organism in Eukaryota, Viridiplantae, Streptophyta, Magnoliopsida, Fabales, Fabaceae.